This 449-nucleotide ribosomal RNA is filed under the name uncultured bacterium. Its description in RNAcentral is "partial 16S ribosomal RNA". It matches the Rfam family "Bacterial small subunit ribosomal RNA", at positions 29 to 523 of the family's 1533-position model. The record is from RNAcentral.
AACGAACGCUGGCGGCAGGCUUAACACAUGCAAGUCGAACGCAUCCUUCGGGGUGAGUGGCAGACGGGUGAGUAACGCGUGGGAACGUGCCCUUCAGUUCGGGAUAACCCAGGGAAACUUGGGCUAAUACCGGAUACGUGCGAGAGCAGAAAGAUUUAUCGCUGAAGGAUCGGCCCGCGUCUGAUUAGCUAGUUGGUGGGGGAAUGGCCCACCAAGGCGACGAUCAGUAGCUGGUCUGGGAGGAUGAUCAGCCACAUUGGGACUGAGACACGGCCCAAACGCCGACGGGAGGCAGCAUUGGGGAAUAUUGGACAAUGGGCGCAAGCCUGAUCCAGCCAUGCCGCGUGAGUGAUGAAGGCCUUAGGGUUGUAAAGCUCUUUCGUCCGGGACGAUAAUGACGGUACCGGAAGAAGAAGCCCCGGCUAACUUCGUGCCAGCCGCCGCCGUAA